UGCUUUAUUCUUCCACUACGAAUCGGCCGCUUUCUUUCCUCCGUCCGUUUAAGUCCGAAUCACAUUAGCCGCGCCUCUCGCAGCGAGUCCCGGCCUCAGAAACGCACUCUACGAACGACUGGGGGGCUUUCCUCAAAACAAGAAAUCAAACGUGCCUAACCUGUACAUCAAAAGGUCGCGUUCACGCCACGGCACACGCACACACAUACAGACAGACACGGGGGCCAAAACAUGCUCAUCCAGCCCCAGAAUUAAAGGAAAAAAAUAACCUACCUUUUAAACAAUGAGAAGGAAAAAACACAAUCCCCUAUUAAUCGGGCAUCUGAAGAUAUUCUUAGAAGCCUUAAUGUGCUUCUGGAAAAAAACAACAACGGCCGUUUAAAUUGGAAAAAAGAUGGAAAAAGUCGGGAUCUUGUUAAAUGUUAAAGCUUUUAUCACGAAACUACGUAUUGCGGUGUUUAUUAUCUACUGCAGGCACACUUUCUGCUGCACUCGUCCCAGACUGAUGACAUCUUCUGCUGGUAAUUAAAACAAAUCAAGCGGCCCCCUGAUUGUUUUGGUGCCCAAGGACAAUCACACACAGACGGGAGAGAGAGAGAGAGAAAAAAGUGAGCGUUUAAUCGGCAGGGUUCGUCUCUGGGGCUGCGGCGCGAGGGGCGAGGGGGCUUGAGCGCGAGGCGGCCGUGCGCGCCUGCCAUUAUCAUCCCAAAGUGAAGAGCUCCGACCUGCUCGGGAAGACAGCGCGCGAGUUCCUCAGCCCCUCUCUGGCGGCUACGGCUCCACGAUAAAUACGCCUGACGCCUGCCGUGCCGGGCGAAGUCGGCAACGACGCACUACGCGCUGGGAGAAACAGUAAAUGCCAGGUAAUCCAGAAAAAAAGUAUUCGGAAGAAGGGGAAAAGGAAAAAAAGAGCCCGCCACAGAUGUUUUUCUUAGCUGCUUCACAAAACAGGAACCGACUAGCUGAGAAGAAAGGCCGUCUCCCCCAGGAAAGGAGUACAAAGCCAGGUCUGUACACAGCAGAUGCAGGCGACGGUCCAUCUGCUACCAGCUCACAGCACCACAUGGAGCUGGAAGAUUUAACGCCGCGCCUGGCCGGCCUGCGUCUCUGUCGACAUCGGCGGAGUGGAGGGAGGGAGCUCCCGAACUUCAAAGGGGUAACAGUCAGACACUCAACUUAGUGUUUCUGCUCGGGCUUAAGCGAGAGUCUGGGAACAAGGUGUCCGACUCCACCGACUGUAGGGUAAGCGCAUCCCGAUUUUCCACACCUCAUCUCCAUGCCCCUGCAUUUAAGGAGCAUCUUCACCAAAUGUUCACUAAUGGGCGGCGUUUUGGUUCACCUGACUCGUCAACCGCAAGAAGACUGCAAACCCAAUUCCUGAUUGAUGGUGCCCAACUAUAUAUUGAUCAACGCCCGGACACAUCCAGCCAAUAACGGAUGACGGCGACAGAUCGAUGGAGCAGUAUGAACCACGCAACGUUUCCAUGCGCUAAACAUUUUGUCAUUGUAAAAUCCACAGCUGUAAAUAUUUAUUACAGUCCGGGAACAUCAAGAGUCAACAAGACCAGCGUCCUUGACUGCUGCUAACGUCGCACACUUUCAUAACAUUAAGGAACGGGCGGGGACCGCACUCUCCGUUAACGACCGAGGGUGAAAAGACAAAACAGGCAUAAUAGAGGUGAAAGCAGAGCAUGGGCAGGCAGCAGUGAGGGGCACACUCGUCCAUCCCUUCUGCUAAUUUCUCUACCUCUAUUUUCCUGCAGGGCUCUGGACAGCCAAUGUCAAUGAGGUCAGACAAUACCACCAGAGCCUUUUUGUCAAGGCAAAAAAAAAAAAAAAAGUAAAAAGG
Brienomyrus brachyistius is the source of this 1849-nucleotide long non-coding RNA. RefSeq lists it as uncharacterized. The record is from RefSeq and is a predicted model, not a curated record. NCBI's taxonomy places the organism in Eukaryota, Metazoa, Chordata, Actinopteri, Osteoglossiformes, Mormyridae. The transcript has 3 exons.